This 253-nucleotide ribosomal RNA is filed under the name uncultured bacterium. RNAcentral describes it as "partial 16S ribosomal RNA". It matches the Rfam family "Bacterial small subunit ribosomal RNA", at positions 524 to 776 of the family's 1533-position model. The record is from RNAcentral.
UACGUAGGGUGCAAGCGUUAAUCGGAAUUACUGGGCGUAAAGCGUGCGCAGGCGGUCUUGCAAGACAGGUGUGAAAUCCCCGGGCUUAACCUGGGAACUGCCCUUGUGACUGCAAGGCUAGAGUACGGCAGAGGGGGAUGGAAUUCCGCGUGUAGCAGUGACAUGCGUAGAUAUGCGGAGGAACACCGAUGGCGAAGGCAAUCCCCUGGGCCUGUACUGCCGCUCAUGCACGAAAGCGUGGGGAGCAAACAGG